This is a long non-coding RNA of Mytilus californianus (California mussel), 538 nucleotides long. RefSeq lists it as uncharacterized. Lineage: Eukaryota; Metazoa; Mollusca; Bivalvia; Mytilida; Mytilidae. The transcript has 3 exons. The record is from RefSeq and is a predicted model, not a curated record.
CAUUUAAAUGUUUUGUUUAGCUAAAACCUGCAGUACGUCGUAAUGUGACUGUCAGUGAUGUGCCCGAUGUUUUUCUUUUAAUAGUGGUUAUUUCUUUUGGGGAUUUAUAAUGUUCCAGAUAUGAAAAGAAGGGAUACUGCAACUUUAGGUCCGAGCAACUUCUGAUUUAUCUUCAUCUUACAAUUCAACCAAGCCUCGGACAUGGAUGAGGAAACUUCAGAUGAGGAAACUUCGGAUGUGGAAUCUAUAGAUGGACAAACUUUGGAUGAGGUAAAAACAUCAAAACUUAGUUAAUUCAAUUUGAUAUUUUUUUUUUAUUUUUGAAACAAACUUAUAUAGUGUAACUUUACUCUCACAGCAUAUUGUUUUGUACUUGUAAGUUAUAGUUAAACCAGAACAUUGCAGAAUUCAUAUCAAUAUUUCUACAAAACAUAUCUCUACAAACCAGUAAAAAUCUGAAAUGAACAGUAUUUGUACUGGACUCGACUGGUUUUUACUCGACCAUUCUGAAUGGGUUUGAAAUUUACUUAAUGUUACU